CGCCCCUCCGUCGCGGCCUAACGCCGCCACCAAUCAGCGACGAGUGAGGGAGGGGCGGGGUUUGUUGUGGAAGACCCACCCCCUCCUCUUCUAAAUUGCUUCUCCGACCUUUGGGUUCAGAGAAUUGGGAACCGGUCGUUCGCUGUCCUUUUUCGGUUCUUUGGUCAGAGGUCUGGGACUGCGACUUCUUGAUUACUUAUGUACCAUUUAUUUUCACUUGAAACCGGCAGCAAGUUAAGGUGGUUUAGAAUCUGUCCUGACGGGUGGCGUUUGGAAGCAGCACUUUACAAAACGCCUGGUCCUCUCCCUUCUUUGUCAAACCUGGUCAAAGUUAGGACUUGAGCUUUUUUUGGAGGAUCUGAGGAGCAGUGGGGAGUGGGGAAUUAGCCGCCCAAGUCCUUAAAGCUGUCACGUGCAUCAGUAUUUCCACCUCCAACGUCAGUCCAAUUCCUAUUAAUGCUUUGCUUUGUAUGGAUAGCUAAAGAUGUUUUAGAAGAUAAGGGUUGAGGCUACCGAUCCUAAGUAUUUGCAUUUUAACAUGGUGAUUUCUGAUAAAUAAAAGGAUAACCUUUCUGGGUUCUUAGGAGCAAAGAAGAUAAUGGCUGCGGAAUUGCUCUACAGCAUAAUGUAUAAGAAUUUCGUUGGGUCAUUAAUAAAUAAUGCAAUUAUUUUAUCACAUUUUCAAUAUCCUGAAGGGCAUUAGGGUUCAAACCGAGCCAAUCCUGACUCUGAUUAUACUAUCUGCCAAAACCUUUGUUCCUUUCACAGCUAAGGGUUUUUAUAAAAAUGGAUUCAGGGUCUGCUGAAAUAAAUUUUUUUUAAAAAUUUCAGUCCAUAAACCAAACAAAAAUAUCUGUCCUGGAAUGUGAUCAGGAACAAACCAGAAAACUGUGAACAUCUGAUCUUGAUACUGGCUUAUGUUGUCUCUUGUUAAGCUUUUGCUUCUUUGCAUUAUUCAUGACCAUUCAAUUAAUUUUUGUAUAGCCAUACAGGUAGGAUUAUUACCAAGUGCCUACCGUGUACCAGGAAUAGUUCUAAGCCUUGAGAAUACAGCACUAAUAAGGCAGACUCCCUGCUCAAAUAGAGCCAACUAAUGAAAAAUCGAUAAAAUAGAGACUAAAGAGAGAUCCUUAGUUGCGUUUAAAAUCUUAGUUUUUAACUUCCAGGCUGGCACAGUUUGUUAACAAAAAAAGAAAAAAAAGGAUUUUUAUUGAAUGCCAUCUAUACUGCAAGUGAUACAGAGAUUGUACUGAUCACUUUCUACACUCAAAAGUAUAUAAUCAGGUAGAGUUAAUAAAAUAAAAACAAAUCUGAAAUGUAAAACAAAAAAAUACCCUGGGAAGUUACAUAGCAAAGGAGGAAGGAAUUACAGCCCUGGUAAUGUGGGACAACACAGUGUGCAAAUUAUUUAACACAAAGCCUAAACAAGACACAUUAUUAUUAUAGCAUGUUUUAGGGAAAUAAUUCUUGUUGUUGAACUGCAAGUACAGGUAUAUCUAAGAGAUACUCAGAAGGCUGGUCCUGAUAAACAAUGCAUGUAUAAAAGAGUAAGCAGAAAUAAGCCUGGAAAGGUAAGUUAUGGUAGAAAACCAGGUCAAGAAGUUGACUUUAUAUCAGGGAAAUUACAUGUAAAACAAGCAUCGCUACACAGGCAACCAUUUACCAGUUAUAUGUGGAGAGUGAGUGAUGGACCCAAAAGGAAGACUGAUAGGAGGGGCAUUUCGGAAACAAACUCUAUGUUACUUAGCAACUGCCUAAAUAAGAGUGGGGGUCUGCAAAGCAUAGAGUGAAUGCAGAUUGUGAACACUCAAAUGAAACUAGUAUUAUUAUUAUGACACCACAGUUUUUAACUUGACUUACUGGUAGUGCUAAAAACACAUAAAAGUCCACAAAAAGAGCAGGAGAGGGAUGGGAUAGGGAAUUUUCUUAUUCUGUUUUAUUUUUCCAAGUGUUUCUUUAGAUUUUCUAGACAUUUAUAUCACCUACAUUAGAUAUCAUUUUGCCUUUUCCGUUCCAAUUAUUAUAUUUCCAAUUGUUUAUUCAUUUCAGUAGCUAAUAUUUCCAACAUGAUAUUCAGUCAGAUGGGGACAACUGAUAUCUUUUUGUUCCUGAUUUGAGCAGGAAAUUUCCUUUCAUUUCUCCAUCAAGUAAGAUGUUGGCUUUGAGAUGGAAAUUGUGUGUGUGUGUGUACAUGUAUCAUUAUAUAAUAUAUAUUGCAUAUUGAUAGGAAAUAUCUAUUCCUAUUGGGAAAUUUUUAAAAAUAUAAACAAGUGCUAAAUUGUUUUCAGAUGCAUUUUCCCUAUCUUAUUUCCUCUACUUCUUUCCUCUAUCUUAUUUCCUCUGCUUAUUUAAUGGGUUAUAUGAAUAGAUUUUAUAAUAUUGGCCCAGUAAGCAUUCCUGGAAUAAACUCCACCUGGUCAUGAUGAAUUAGUUUUUAAUAUGCUCUUGUGCUUUCUUUGCUAAUUUUGGGGUUUUUUGUUUUUUAGUUUGUGUAAUCAAUAUUCAUAGUGAAACUGAUGUGUUUUUUUGAUUGUAAUAUUAUACUCAAAUUAGAAAAUAUAUAUUUCUAAUAUAACAAGGAAAAUAAGUUUUCCUUAGUUUUCUGUGCACUGGGAUAUUUUAAGUAGCAUUUGGAUCUGGUCUUUAAAAAUUUGAUAGAAAAUUUGGUAGAAAUUCCCAAGGGAGUCUAUUCUUCUAUUUUUUUUAAAUUAUUAAUUGUUAAUUCUAAUUAUGUAUACUUGUGCUUUCUACCUUUUUCAUUUAUUGUUUUAAUUAGUAUUUUUUCUUGUUUUCUUUCAAAGCACUUCUGCAUUUACUAAUUAACUCUACUGUUUUCCAACUCAUUAAUUUUUGGUUUUAACACUAUCAACUUUUUUCAUUCCACUUUUUUUGUUUAUUAGCUUUGGAAAUUGGAUAUUUAGUUGGUAUAUUUUUCAUGUUUAUUGUUAUGGUAACUGCUUUAGCUGUAUCCUAAAAUUUCUGACUAUGAAUUUCCAAGAGAAAGUACCAUUUUUCCUUUUGAUUGCUUUAAAUUAAUGUCUGAUUUUAAAUCAUGUAGGCAGAGAAUGCUGUUUGUAUAUUUCUAUUCUUUGGAUUAUUGAGGUCUUCUUUGUGGCCUAAAAUGUCACUUUUGUGAAAAUUCAAUGUGCAACUUGAAAGAAGGUAUUUCCUCUUAAUAGUAUAUAGAAUUUGAUAGAUACCUAUGAGAUCUGCCUUAUUGAUUAUGUUAUUUAUGUCUUUUACAUCUGUAGUAAUAUUUGUUACCUUCAUUUUCUUGGAUUCUGAGAGAUUUGUUAAAAUCUCCAAUACUGUGUUUUGUCUGUUUAUUCUCACAUCUCCUAUAGUUUCUCCUUCACAAAAAUUGUUGAUAUAUUAUUUGGUAAGCAAGUAUUAAUAAUAGUUACAUUUUCAUUAUGAAUGGUAGUCUUCAACAUUGUAACGUGUUAUUUUAUUUUUAAUGCUUUUUGAUGCAAAUACUACUAGUCAAACACUGAGGUUGUACUGAAGGAAACUGAGGCUGUUUAUCUGAAAUAGUAUUACAGACCUUAAAUUAAUACGUAGCAUUUUUAAACUAAGUGUCUUGUACUCUUUAAUGAUUUCAGCUCAGAACCUAGUGGCAGUAAUGGGG
Molecule: long non-coding RNA, 3628 nt
Filed under: Homo sapiens (human)
Lineage: Eukaryota; Metazoa; Chordata; Mammalia; Primates; Hominidae
Description: non-protein coding lnc-ASB5-2:2
Source: RNAcentral